AUCUUGAAAGUAACAGCUGGUUAUGGAGAGAAUGCAUCGCUCUCUGUAUCAUCAGGCAAUAAAGUCUUUUUUAAACAAGAAUUUCAUAUUGAGAAAAGAGAACUGAGAAUCGCAUCGAAGGUACCCGAGAUUCUUACUGCUGGUUCCAAACUAGAAAAUAUCAUUUUUGAAAUUGUCAACUGUGAGGGUAUUGUGGAUGAUACUAUCCACGAUGAAGAGAAAACUGGUCUGUCACAUAUGCUAACAAUAAAGGCUGAUUAGCUUAAUUUGGGAGAG
This is a long non-coding RNA of Humulus lupulus (European hop), 276 nucleotides long. RefSeq lists it as uncharacterized. The transcript has 3 exons. The record is from RefSeq and is a predicted model, not a curated record. Lineage: Eukaryota; Viridiplantae; Streptophyta; Magnoliopsida; Rosales; Cannabaceae.